GUGAAUACUAGGACGUCCAAUUUAACUUGGAGUCCGAACUCUCACUCUCUAACUCUGUGCAUUUGUUUUGGUUAGUAGGACGCUUGCGUCUGAACCCCUCUUCAUUUACAAACACUAAGUCUAUGAAUGUUUAAAUUUUAUAACAAAACA
RNAcentral lists this unclassified non-coding RNA (150 nucleotides) under Rhodosporidiobolus lusitaniae. RNAcentral's name for it is "ITS1". The record is from RNAcentral. Lineage: Eukaryota; Fungi; Basidiomycota; Microbotryomycetes; Sporidiobolales; Sporidiobolaceae.